Prunus avium (sweet cherry) is the source of this 237-nucleotide non-coding RNA. NCBI's taxonomy places the organism in Eukaryota, Viridiplantae, Streptophyta, Magnoliopsida, Rosales, Rosaceae. The record is from RefSeq and is a predicted model, not a curated record.
UUUUUUUUCUUUUCCUUUUGUUUGCCUUCUGUUUAGUGUUUAUGGCCUUGAAUGAAGUUCUACUUAAUGUUUGGCACAUCUCCAAUUGUAGGCUUAAAUUACUUUUUGGGUGGGACAUCACGAAAUUACAGGGAUGAUGGAGUAGACAUCAAUUGUGCAUCAAUUGUAUGUUUGGAUGAGAGGAAGGCUUGGAUGAGGAGUACUAGAUGUAGGUCUUAUUAGGAGAAAAUUGUACUA